GGGCCGGUGGUGAAGUUUGGAACUCAUGCCGGAUUUGCAAUCCGGAGCUCGCGGGUUCAAAUCCCGCCCGGUCCACCA
Molecule: transfer RNA, 78 nt
Filed under: Candidatus Bathyarchaeota archaeon
Lineage: Archaea; Thermoproteati; Candidatus Bathyarchaeota
Description: tRNA-Ala
Rfam family: tRNA
About the family: Transfer RNA (tRNA) molecules are approximately 80 nucleotides in length.
Source: RNAcentral